This 447-nucleotide ribosomal RNA is filed under the name uncultured bacterium. RNAcentral's name for it is "bacterial SSU rRNA". It matches the Rfam family "Bacterial small subunit ribosomal RNA", at positions 355 to 825 of the family's 1533-position model. The record is from RNAcentral.
UCGGGAAUUUUGGGCAAUGGGCGCAAGCCUGAUCCAGCCAUGCCGCGUGAGUGAUGAAGGCCUUAGGGUUGUAAAACUCUUUCGUCGGGGACGAUAAUGACGGUACCCGAAGAAGAAGCUCCGGCUAACUUCGUGCCAGCAGCCGCGGUAAUAUGAAGGGAGCUAGCGUUGUUCGGAAUCACUGGGCGUAAAGCGCACGUAGGCGGAUAGUUAAGUCAGGGGUGAAAUCCUGGGGCUCAACCCCAGAACUGCCUUUGAUACUGGCUGUCUCGAGGUCGAGAGAGGUUGGUGGAAUUCCUAGUGUAGAGGUGAAAUUCGUAGAUAUUAGGAAGAACACCAGUGGCGAAGGCGGCCAACUGGCUCGAUACUGACGCUGAGGUGCGAAAGCGUGGGGAGCAAACAGGAUUAGAUACCCUUGUAGUCCCUGAGCGGGCUGGCAAGGCGCAU